RNAcentral lists this ribosomal RNA (425 nucleotides) under uncultured bacterium. RNAcentral's name for it is "bacterial SSU rRNA". It matches the Rfam family "Bacterial small subunit ribosomal RNA", at positions 354 to 796 of the family's 1533-position model. The record is from RNAcentral.
GUGGGGAAUAUUGGGCAAUGGGCGAAAGCCUGACCCAGCAACGCCGCGUGAAGGAAGAAGGUUUUCGGAUCGUAAACUUCUAUCCUUGGUGAAGAUAAUGACGGUAGCCAAGAAGGAAGCCCCGGCUAACUACGUGCCAGCAGCCGCGGUAAUACGUAGGGGGCAAGCGUUGUCCGGAAUGAUUGGGCGUAAAGGGCGCGUAGGCGGCCCGGUAAGUCUGAAGUGAAAGUCCUGCUUUUAAGGUGGGAAUUGCUUUGGAUACUGUCGGGCUUGAGUGCAGGAGAGGUAAGCGGAAUUCCCGGUGUAGCGGUGAAAUGCGUAGAGAUCGGGAGGAACACCAGUGGCGAAGGCGGCUUACUGGACUGUAACUGACGCUGAGGCGCGAAAGUGUGGGGAGCAAACAGGAUUAGAAACCCUGGUAGUCC